This 838-nucleotide ribosomal RNA is filed under the name uncultured archaeon. Its description in RNAcentral is "bacterial SSU rRNA". It matches the Rfam family "Archaeal small subunit ribosomal RNA", at positions 21 to 859 of the family's 1478-position model. The record is from RNAcentral.
AGGUUACUGCUAUCGGUGUUCGCCUAAGCCAUGCGAGUCAUAUGUUCGUAAGAACAUGGCGUACUGCUCAGUAACACGUGGAUAACCUGCCCUUGGGUCCGGCAUAACCCCGGGAAACUGGGGAUAAUUCCGGAUAACGCACAUAUGCUGGAAUGCUUUAUGCGUAAAAUGGAUUCGUCUGCCCAAGGAUGGGUCUGCGGCCUAUCAGGUAGUAGUGGGUGUAAUGUACCUACUAGCCUGCGACGGGUACGGGUUGUGAGAGCAAGAGCCCGGAGAUGGAUUCUGAGACAUGAAUCCAGGCCCUACGGGGCGCAGCAGGCGCGAAAACUUUACAAUGCGGGAAACCGUGAUAAGGGGACACCGAGUGCCAGCAUCCUAUGCUGGCUGUCCGGGUGUGUAAAAUACACCUGUUAGCAAGGGCCGGGCAAGACCGGUGCCAGCCGCCGCGGUAACACCGGCGGCCCGAGUGGUGAUCGUGAUUAUUGGGUCUAAAGGGUCCGUAGCCGGUUUGGUCAGUCCUCCGGGAAAUCUGACAGCUUAACUGUUAGGCUUUCGGAGGAUACUGCCAGACUUGGAACCGGGAGAGGUAAGAGGUACUACAGGGGUAGGAGUGAAAUCUUGUAAUCCCUGUGGGACCUCCUGUGGCGAAGGCGUCUUACCAGAACGGGUUCGACGGUGAGGGACGAAAGCUGGGGGCACGAACCGGAUUGGAUACCCGGGUAGUCCCAGCCGUAAACGAUGCUCGCUAGGUGUCAGGCAUGGCGCGACCGUGUCUGGUGCCGCAGGGAAGCCGUGAAGCGAGCCACCUGGGAAGUACGGCCGCAAGGCUGAAACUUAA